UCAGGAAAAGUGGACCUGCAAGAACAGAAUAUCGUUGACAUUGAAGAACUUGUGAAGCUUUGUACCCGUAUGGAAGAGGCUUGCGCGGGAUUCACAAGGUUCGAUUUCUGUCAGAUCUUGGAUGCUACAGAGAAUUUUUCAGAGAAGAUGAUAAUUGGAUGGGGAGGAUUUGGGAGGGUGUACAAGGGUCAGUUGCCCCAUGGACUUGUGGUUGGUAUCAAGAGAUUCGAUCACCGUGCAAUGUUAUCUGAUUUCAGCAAUGAACUGCAGCUUGCUAGGCUUCGGCAUACAAAUGUAAUAAGGUUACUAGGGUGGUGCAUCCAUGGAGAAGAAAGGAUUCUGGUCUACAAGUUCAUGCACAAUGGUGCCUUGGACCAUCACAUAUUUGACAGAAUAAAAGGGCCAUUACUAGACUGGUCUAAGAGACUCAAAAUAAUCAAAGGGUUAGUAGAGGGGCUUGUUUACCUGCACAAGCACCCCAUGCUAUCUAUUGUCCAUAGGGACUUGAAACCAAAUAAUAUUAUCUUGGAAUGUGACAUGACCCUGAAUAUUUCUGAUUUUGGAUCAGCUAAAACCCUGAGUCCAGACGUAACAGAAGAGCAUACAUGCAGGGUGGUGGGCACUAGUGGUUACAUAGCCCCGGAGUAUGCACCUCGAGGGGUUUACUCUCUGAAGACGGAUGUGUUCAGCUUCGGCAUCUUGGUUCUGGAGACCAUUAGCGGACGAAAGAACACCAUACUCGACAACCGAGGGGAUACCGUCGGCGAUCUUGUACGAGAUGCCUGGCGUAUGUGGAAGGACAGAAGGCUGCAUGAGCUCGUAGAUGGAUCACUAGGGCAUGGAUACGACAUCGCCGAGGUAGCGAUGUACGCUCAGGUGGCGCUGCUCUGCGCUCAGGAAGAUCCAGUGGAUCGCCCCGCCAUGACGGAUGUUGCUGCAAUGCUGAGCUCUGAAAGCAUGAGCUUACCAACGGAGCCUAAGGAGCCUUCCGCGCUGAGUGAAGGGGGUGCUGGUGAGGAUACAUACAUAAACCGAUCAAGCCGGACAAUAGACAUAACCAUAACGAGUUCAGCCACAGUGCUGACUAGAGUUCGCUUAAUCAUAGACCAGGAGGUUUGA
RNAcentral lists this ribosomal RNA (1119 nucleotides) under Triticum aestivum (bread wheat). RNAcentral describes it as "partial small subunit ribosomal RNA". The record is from RNAcentral. Lineage: Eukaryota; Viridiplantae; Streptophyta; Magnoliopsida; Poales; Poaceae.